GUCCUAGCCGUAAACGGUGCACGUUUGCUGUAAGAGGAAUCGACCCCUUUUGUGGCGAAGCCAACGCGAUAAACGUGCCGCCUGGGAAGUACGGUCGCAAGAUUAAAACUCAAAGAAAUUGACGGGGGCCUGCACAAGCGGUGGAGUAUGUGGCUCAAUUCGAUGCAACGCGAAGAACCUUACCUGGCCUUGACAUGUACGUAGUAGGAGGGUGAAAGCCCGACGAGGUAGCAAUACCAGCGUGCACAGGUGCUGCAUGGCUGUCGU
This 267-nucleotide ribosomal RNA is filed under the name uncultured bacterium. Its description in RNAcentral is "partial 16S ribosomal RNA". It matches the Rfam family "Bacterial small subunit ribosomal RNA", at positions 793 to 1055 of the family's 1533-position model. The record is from RNAcentral.